RNAcentral lists this ribosomal RNA (2876 nucleotides) under Stenotrophomonas maltophilia. Its description in RNAcentral is "bacterial LSU rRNA". It matches the Rfam family "Bacterial large subunit ribosomal RNA". RNAcentral also lists the same sequence under 1 other name. The record is from RNAcentral. Lineage: Bacteria; Pseudomonadati; Pseudomonadota; Gammaproteobacteria; Lysobacterales; Lysobacteraceae.
UCAAGCGAAUAAGCGCACACGGUGGAUGCCUUGGCGGUCAGAGGCGAUGAAGGACGUGGCAGCCUGCGAAAAGUAUCGGGGAGCUGGCAACAAGCUUUGAUCCGGUAAUGUCCGAAUGGGGAAACCCACCCGCUUGCGGGUAUCCUGCAGUGAAUACAUAGCUGCUGGAAGCGAACCUGGUGAACUGAAAUAUCUAAGUAACCAGAGGAAAAGAAAUCAACCGAGAUUCCGUAAGUAGCGACGAGCGAACGCGGACUAGCCCUUAAGCUGAUUUGGUUCUAGGAAAACGCUCUGGAAAGAGCGGCCAUAGAAGGUGAUAGCCCUGUAUCUGAAAGGGCCAUUUCAGUGAAGACGAGUAGGGCGGGGCACGUGAAACCCUGUCUGAACAUGGGGGGACCAUCCUCCAAGGCUAAAUACUACUGACCGACCGAUAGUGAACCAGUACCGUGAGGGAAAGGCGAAAAGAACCCCGGAGAGGGGAGUGAAAUAGAACCUGAAACCGUGUGCGUACAAGCAGUAGGAGCUCCGCAAGGAGUGACUGCGUACCUUUUGUAUAAUGGGUCAGCGACUUACUGUUCGUGGCAAGCUUAACCGUAUAGGGGAGGCGAAGGGAAACCGAGUCUGAUAAGGGCGCAUAGUCGCGGGCAGUAGACCCGAAACCGGGUGAUCUAGUCAUGCCCAGGGUGAAGGUGCGGUAACACGCACUGGAGGCCCGAACCCACUCCCGUUGCAAAGGUAGGGGAUGAGGUGUGAUUAGGAGUGAAAAGCUAAUCGAACCCGGAGAUAGCUGGUUCUCCUCGAAAGCUAUUUAGGUAGCGCCUCAUAUGUAUCCUCUCGGGGGUAGAGCACUGUUAUGGCUAGGGGGUCAUCGCGACUUACCAAACCAUUGCAAACUCCGAAUACCGAGACGGACUGUAUGGGAGACACACGGCGGGUGCUAACGUCCGUCGUGAAAAGGGAAACAACCCAGACCCACAGCUAAGGUCCCAAAUUUUGUGCUAAGUGGAAAACCAUGUGGAAAGGCACAGACAGCCAGGAGGUUGGCUUAGAAGCAGCCACCCUUUAAAGAAAGCGUAAUAGCUCACUGGUCGAGUCGGUCUGCGGGGAAGAUUUAACGGGGCUAAGCACAGAACCGAAGCUUGGGGUGCAUACUUUGUAUGCGCGGUAGAGGAGCGUUCCGUAAGCCGUUGAAGGUGGAUUGAGAAGUCUGCUGGAGGUAUCGGAAGUGCGAAUGCUGACAUGAGUAACGAUAAUGCGGGUGAAAAACCCGCACGCCGAAAGCCCAAGGUUUCCUUGCGCAACGUUAAUCGGCGCAGGGUGAGUCGGCCCCUAAGGCGAGGACGAAAGUCGUAGUCGAUGGGAAGCAGGUUAAUAUUCCUGCACCUCGCGUAAGUGCGAUGGAGGGACGGAGAAGGUUAGGUGUACCAGGCGUUGGUUGUCCUGGGGAAAGGCGGUAGGUUUGGAUCUUUGGCAAAUCCGGGAUCCUCUAAGACCGAGCACCGAGACGAGCCUUUAUGGCGAAGUCACUGAUACCACGCUUCCAGGAAAAGCUCCUAAGCUUCAGCUUACGCAGACCGUACCGUAAACCGACACAGGUGGGUAGGAUGAGAAUUCUCAGGCGCUUGAGAGAACUCGGGUGAAGGAACUAGGCAACAUGGCACCGUAACUUCGGGAGAAGGUGCACCCUUUUUGGUGGCUCGUGCGAGCUAUAGCUGAAGAGGGUCGCAGUAACCAGGCCGCUGCGACUGUUUAUCAAAAACACAGCACUCUGCAAACACGAAAGUGGACGUAUAGGGUGUGACGCCUGCCCGGUGCUGGAAGGUUAAUUGAUGGGGUCAGCCGCAAGGCGAAGCUCUUGAUCGAAGCCCCAGUAAACGGCGGCCGUAACUAUAACGGUCCUAAGGUAGCGAAAUUCCUUGUCGGGUAAGUUCCGACCUGCACGAAUGGCGUAACGACAGCGGCGCUGUCUCCACCCGAGACUCAGUGAAAUUGAAAUCGCUGUGAAGAUGCAGCGUUCCCGUGGCAAGACGGAAAGACCCCGUGAACCUUUACUAUAGCUUUACACUGAACGUUGAGUUCGUCUGUGUAGGAUAGGUGGGAGGCUAUGAAACCAUGGCGCUAGCUGUGGCGGAGCCAUCCUUGAAAUACCACCCUGUCGUGCUUGACGUUCUAACCUGGGCCCAUUAUCUGGGUCGGGGACCGUGUAUGGUGGGUAGUUUGACUGGGGCGGUCUCCUCCUAAAGAGUAACGGAGGAGCUCGAAGGUACGCUCAGCGCGGUCGGACAUCGCGCACUGUGUGCAAAGGCAUAAGCGUGCUUGACUGCAAGAUCGACGGAUCAAGCAGGUAGGAAACUAGGACUUAGUGAUCCGGUGGUUCUGUAUGGAAGGGCCAUCGCUCAACGGAUAAAAGGUACUCCGGGGAUAACAGGCUGAUACCGCCCAAGAGUUCAUAUCGACGGCGGUGUUUGGCACCUCGAUGUCGGCUCAUCACAUCCUGGGGCUGUAGUCGGUCCCAAGGGUAUGGCUGUUCGCCAUUUAAAGUGGUACGCGAGCUGGGUUCAGAACGUCGUGAGACAGUUCGGUCCCUAUCUGCCAUGGGCGUUGGAGAUUUGAGAGGGGCUGCUCCUAGUACGAGAGGACCGGAGUGGACGAACCUCUGGUGUUCCGGUUGUCACGCCAGUGGCAUUGCCGGGUAGCUAUGUUCGGAAGCGAUAACCGCUGAAAGCAUCUAAGCGGGAAGCGCGCCUCAAGAUGAGAUCUCCCGGGGCACAAGCCCCCUGAAGGAACCAUGUAGACUACGUGGUUGAUAGGUCAGGUGUGUAAGUACAGCAAUGUAUUGAGCUAACUGAUACUAAUGAUCCGAGAGGCUUGACCAU